RNAcentral lists this ribosomal RNA (589 nucleotides) under uncultured archaeon. RNAcentral describes it as "bacterial SSU rRNA". It matches the Rfam family "Archaeal small subunit ribosomal RNA", at positions 265 to 856 of the family's 1478-position model. The record is from RNAcentral.
CGGUAUGGGCCAUGAGAGUGGUAGCCCAGAGAUGGACACUGAGACAAGGGUCCAGGCCCUACGGGGCGCAGCAGGCGCGAAACCUCCUCAAUGCACUAAAGUGUGAAGGGGUUACCUCGAGUGCUACCUGAAGAAGGUAGCUUUUCCUUGGUCUAAAUAGCCUAGGGAAUAAGAGGGGGGCAAGACUGGUGUCAGCCGCCGCGGUAACACCAGCCCCUCGAGUGGUGGGGAUGAUUAUUUGGCCUAAAGCGUCCGUAGCCGGCCGGGUAAGUUUCCCGUCAAAUCCAGCGUCUCAAGCGUUGGACUGCGGGAAAUACUGUCUGGCUAGAGAGUGGGAGAGGUGAGCGGUAUUCUGGGGGUAGGGGCGAAAUCCUUUGAUCCCCGGAGGACCACCAGUGGCGAAGGCUGCUUACUAGAACACGUCUGACGGUCAGGGACGAAAGCUGGGGUAGCGAACCGGAUUAGAUACCCGGGUAGUCCCAGCUGUAAACGAUGCAUGCUAGGUGUUGGGUUGGCCACGUGCCACCCCAGUGCCGCAGGGAAGCCGUUCAGCAUGCCGCCUGGGAAGUACGAUCGCAAGAUUGAAACU